AUGCCGCCCAAGCGCGGGCGCGGGAGGCCGCGUAGGGAGGUCCCGGCCGCCGCAGACGAGGCGAGCGGCGGGGGGACGGACGACGACCUAGGUCUCCCGCCCAUCCCCUCCGCCUCCACCGCCGACGAGCCCACGCGCGGGCGCGGGCGCGGUCGGGGUAGGCGCGGCAGGCGCGGCCGGGGGGGCCGCGGGCGAGGGCGAACGCCCGCCGUCAAAGCCGAGGAGAACGGUGUGGACAAGGGCAACGAAGAGAUGCCACAGCAGGAUUCUGCCGAGGAGAAAGACGCACAAGGGGGAACGGAGAACUCGAGACCAGCAAGAAAACGCAGGAGGGGGGAUCCUGUUGCUGACCUCUCAUCUCUUGAGCCUCGGCCCGCACGAGUUAGGAGGAAGCCGAAUCUUAUUCCGGUGGUAGAUGAUCCACCUAAGGUGAAAGCCAAGGUGAAAGCUCAGAAUACAAAAAGGAUAGAUGGAACCUCAACCAUGUGUCAUCAAUGCCAGAGGAAGGACAAAGAAGGAGGAGUUGUGCGCUGCCUGGGCUGCAAAGAAUAUAGGAGGAGAUACUGCAUGGUGUGCAUAAAGCGCUGGUAUCCACAUUUAACAGUAGAUGACUUUGUCAAUAGUUGUCCAUUUUGUCGCAAUAACUGCAACUGCAAGACCUGCCUGCGGAAAAACAUAAUAGACAAGGUUGACAAAUGGCAAGUAUCUGAGGAAGAUAUAGUCAAAUUCUCUCAUCGAAAUUUGCACUUCUUGCUCCCAUGGUUGAAAGACUUUCACCAUGAGCAGAUACAAGAGAAAUCUGUUGAGGCAACAAUUAAAGGCAUUGAUGCAUCUGAAGUGAAGGUCACUCAGGCUGAAUGUGAAGAAAGUGAGCGGAUAUACUGUAACAACUGCAGAACAUCUAUAUUUGACUUCCACCGAAGCUGUGAUAAAUGUUCCUAUGAUCUCUGCCUGAGCUGCUGCCGGGAGCUUCGUGAUGGACUUAGUCCUGGCGCUGCUGCUGCAAAUAGCAUGAUCCCUACGCAACCUGGGGUAGAAGGCCUGGAAGAUUUGCAACAGAGUAGUCAUGGCAAUGUUGCAAGUCCAAAGCCUUCUGAUGGGCAGAAUGAUGUUUUGAUGGACAGUGCAAUUCCUGUUGAGGAUAAUGCUCCUGGUUUGAGACAAUGGAGGGCGAAUAACAAUGGAAGCAUACCUUGCCCGCCAAAUGCUUUUGGUGGUUGUGGAGAUUCUGUUCUUGAACUUAAGUCAUUGUUGAAGGAGAAUAUAAUUUCUGACUUAUUGGAGAAGGCUGAUUUUGUGGUCAACAACGAAAGAAUGCUGGAGGUGGGAGGCUCAAAAUGUUCCUGCUCUACGGACUCUGGUGAGGUGACCAAUGGGUAUAAAUUGGCUUGUAGAGAGAACUCAAGUGACAACUACAUAUACUGCCCAAAUGCUAGAGAUGUUCAAAAUGGAGCUUUAGAUCAUUUCCAGGAGCACUGGCUGAAGGGUGAGCCUGUUAUUGUUCGUAACGUGCUUGAGUUAACUUCUGGGUUGAGCUGGGAACCAAUGGUUAUGUGGCGGGCUUUACGAGAAAGGAAAGAGAAGGAUGAACAUGAGCGGCUCUCUGUUACAGCUCUUGAGUGUCUGUCUUGGUCUGAGGUUGAAAUAAACACCCACUUCUUUUUUGAUGGGUAUUCCCGUGGAGCUGUUGGUCCAGAGGGUUUGCCUGUGUUACUCAAGCUUAAAGAUUGGCCACAACACAGCUCAUUUGAGGAUCGACUGCCACGACAUGGCGCUGAGUUCAUGUCUGCCUUGCCAUUUCGUGAAUAUACAGAUCAUAAAUCUGGUCCUCUUAAUCUUGCAGUGCAGCUUCCAGAAAAUGUCAUAAAGCCAGACCUUGGUCCAAAGACUUACAUUGCGUACGGCGUUGCCAAGGAAUUAGGAAUUGGUGAUUCAGUCACCAAGAUUCAUUGCGACAUGUCUGAUGCGGUUAAUAUCCUAACACAUACUGAUGAAAUAAAGCUCAAAGAACAAAGGGUUGUCGCGAUUGAGAAAAAGAAAAAGAGUUUGGCAAUAAGGGAUUACAGCAGAAAUCUUCAAGCUUCACAAAUAGGUCCUGAUAGUGACACGUCGAUAGCUCUCAGUGAAUUAGUCAAGGGGCCGAGACCUGAAGGAUCUGGACAUGGCUCAUUCAUUAAGCAGCCAUUAUCAGAUGCUGUUUUAGAUGGGCGGGACGGGGUUCAUAAAGAUGUGGCAGCUGAUCAAGCUGAGCGGAACUUGACUGUCAAUGGGCGAGCACCCAUUGAAUGUGAAGGGAUUCACAAAGAUGUGGCAGCUGAUGAAGCCGAGGGGAACUUGACGGUGAAUGGGCAAGUGUCCAUUGUAGGUGAUGCGGAUCAUAUGGAUAUUUCAGUCACCAAGGAGGCAGCAGAAGCCACAGUUAAUGAUAGGGAGAAGGUCGGUUGUGGUUUCAGCAGUGAAGAUAAAAGUGCAUCUCCAGAUAAUUCUGAAGGAUCUUCUGAACCUAAUGGCCAUCAAAUACACCGCAGGAGACAUUGGCUUCGUUCUUCUAAUGCAUCAAAGAGAAAAAAGGAAGCAAGCACAGAAGAUGAAGAUAAAAGUGAACCUCCAGAUAAUUCAGAAGGAUCUUCUGAACCUAAUGGUCGUCAAACACACCGCAGGCGACGUGGUUCUUCUAAUGCAUCAAAGAGAAAAAAGAAAGCAAGAACAGAAGAUGAGGUGCCUGGGCCCAUAACUCUCGAGCCAAAAGAUGAUGAUCUCCCAUUUGUAGAGGAAAACCAACCAGAGGGUGGUGCCUUGUGGGAUAUAUUCCGACGGGAAGAUGUCAGCAAACUACAUGAUUAUCUAAUAAAGCAUUCAGAGGAGUUUAGGCAUUACAAGUAUGAACCAGUGAAGAAGGUUAUUCACCCUAUACAUGAUCAGUGCUUUUACCUAACAAAUGAGCACAAGAGGAAACUUAAGGAAGAAUAUGGAGUUGAGCCUUGGACAUUUGAACAGAAGCUUGGUGAUGCAGUCUUUAUCCCUGCAGGAUGUCCCCACCAAGUCAGAAAUUUGAAGUCUUGUAUAAAGGUCGCACUUGACUUUGUUUCGCCGGAAAAUUUACGAGAGUGCAUCAAGUUGACAGAAGAAUUUCGUCUGCUUCCAAACUGGCAUAGGGUGAAUGAAGAUAAGCUAGAGGUUAAGAAGAUAGCUUUUCAUGCAAUCAAAGAAGCCAUUUAUGAUAUCUCCAAUGGUGGCAAGAAAAGACCUAAAAAGGAACCUGCUGGGCGUGGUAAAAAGAAAGCUGGUCGUGGUCCAGGAAAAAGGAAAACUGGCCGUCGUUGUCGAGGGAAAAAGAUACCUGGUCCAAGUGAAUCCGCAGAACCAGAGGAGCAUGAAGUGCAAGGAGAAUCAGCUCUGGACAUGUCUGAAGCUGAAGGUGGACCUGCAGAAAUGGAGGAGCACGAAGAACAGUCAGCUGAGGACAUGUCUGAAGAUGAUGAAGACGAAGCUGCAGAAAAGGAGGAGUGCCAAGAAGAAUCUGCUCUGGACAUGUCAGAAGCUGAAGAUGGACCUAGUGAGUCAGCGCAGGACAUGUCUGAGUUUGAAGAUGAGCCUGCAGAAGUGGAGGAGCAGCAGAAACAAUCAGUUGAGAACAUGUCUGUACCUAAAGAUGAGCCUGCAGAAAUGCAUCAGGAAGAGUCAGCUCAGUACAUGUCUGCACCUGCAGAAGCGGAGAAGCCCCAAGAAGAAUCAGGUCAGGACAUGCCUGAAGCCGAAGACAAAGCUGCGAAAAUGGAGGCGUCUGAAGCUGAAGCUGGACAGCUAGAGGCUCAGGAUCACCAUAAGCAACCAGCUGAUGGCACGCCUGAGGUUAAACAGGAGCAGCUCCAGAAGCAAUCAGCUGAGGCCAUGCCAACCCUGGCGCCAUGA
Molecule: ribosomal RNA, 3912 nt
Filed under: Triticum aestivum (bread wheat)
Lineage: Eukaryota; Viridiplantae; Streptophyta; Magnoliopsida; Poales; Poaceae
Description: partial small subunit ribosomal RNA
Source: RNAcentral